AUCAGUGGCCUGACUGUUCUGACACAUUGAGUUCUUAGUUGAGGGACUCUUUAGAAGGUAGUGGUCAGUAGAAAUUUAACUAUUGGCAAAUUCUUGUUUUCUUAAGGGAAGGGAAUGAAAUGAGGAGGUAGAUAGGGAUCAGUUUUGCGGUUUGGCCUUAAAUUGUUUCCUACACCCAUCAGUCAGUGAGAACCUAAGAAAUACAAACAUAUUUCAAUGUUGUCAAAUUUUGAGGUAUUGGUAAGGUACUUUGGCUAAAGAGAAAAACCACUCUUAAUUCCCAAAUCAAGUAGAACUUAUUUGUUGUUGUUGUUCUUCACAUUAUGAAUCAUAUGCUUUGCAACCCCUACCUGGGACCCAGCUGUUGACUAUAAACUGAAAGAAGUUGGCUAGGGCAGGUUUUGGGUCCUAUGGCCUGUGGUGGUGAAUGCUGGCCUCAAGGUACAUGAUUGGUGCCUAGGUACAAGGCUAGUUACCCAUCUUUCCAGCAGCUGUAACACUGUCCUCCCCACUGUUUUACCCAAAUCUCAGCAGCCAAGAGGAAGGAGGUACCUUCCAACCUACUUGAGUACCCCUACAAGCUGGAGGGAACAGGCUGCCCGGGACUGGCAACAAGGGGGCCCUCUUGCAAGGGAGGCUGAAGCCAAUAGCUUGUACCUACUUGUCAAGUGUUUAGGGGUGUGGAUAGGAAGCACAGUAUGGUUCAUUAUGUGGGAUUAUAAAAGCUACAUUCUUUCCGGUCCCAGUUAAUCCCCAUUUCCCAAGCUUAUUUUCCUGCUACCCCUCACUAGUCCUAGCACCUGGGGAUCAAGGCACAGACAAGAUUUUGCUGCACCUCAUCCUUUGAUGUUGACAUUACCAGGCUCCCUCUCCUAAUCCAUUUAGAGCCCUGGGAGGUUGUUGUUGAGGAGUGUGGAAGAAAGAGCUGGAAGGGAGUCUGAGGAAGAAUUUCCAUAUUCUUCUUGUUUUGAAUUGUUGUAGAGCAGGUGGUAAGAGUUAUGAGAAGAUAGAGAACUUUCCAGCCUUCUCUGGUCAUUGUAAUUCCAAAUCCCUUUGACCAUUUCUUGGCUCUUGGGAAGUGUUCCUGCUUGUUUCUGUCUUGCACCAUCACUCUGCCCCACAGCCAUGGGACUGACUUGGCUUCAGCAUAAAGCUGGGGAGGGCAGGAGAGUUGUUCUUUGAGAGAGGUGUUAUUUCCUGAGGUUGGGAAGUGGUAUAUUCUGCCAGUCACAUCUCGGCUUGGAUGCCUGAGGCUGUCUACCUCCUUGCUUAGCAAGGCUCACCUCAUCUAGUUGGACAUAUGCACCUGACACAUGGGACUUAGGCAAGGGGGAGAGUUGUAAUACCACCUGAGUAAUCCUCAGCCAGACAUUGCCAUUCUUAGACAUCUGCCCAUGAGGCUUCUAUUACUAAUCUGCCUGCCAAAGGAAGUACUUUUCUCUAAAAUUGUACAGAAGUUAUGUAAGGUGCAGCAAGAGCAGCAUCUGGGCGGGUGCUUGGCACUUUAUCCAUCUUUCUCGAAUCUCCAGUUGCUGGUCCAGACUCUGUCUCCUUUAGUAACUUGGAAGUUCUAUUAAAGGAUGGUUUAUUCAUACUAAUUCUCUUUAAGCCCAUCACUGAAGUUUUACUCCCAUUAUGGUAAGCCUAGCAAAGUAGAGCCAUCCUCGCAAAAUAGGACUGUCUUCUGAAAAGCCUUGACAUCAUCUAAGCCCACUACCCUCAUUAUUCCAGAGGGAAACUGAAGCUUAGAGAAAUAGAAUGACUGAUCCAGACAAAGAGAUAUAAGGCUAGUUGUUUCUUGCCUUGACCCCCAAAUUUGGCACUCUUUUUUACUUUGAGAAGCAGUGGUAGAGAUGGGGGUAGAGAAUGAGAGUGAUUUUCAGGUCCAGACUUGCUACAGAAUUCAAUCAAGGGAUAGUGUUUCUACUUACUCUAGCCUUAGACCUAAAUUAAGAAAUCAGUAUAAGAAGAAUCGGCCAACUAGACUUCAAGGGACCAUCUGUGUCUGCUGACCCCUUAGUCUUCAUGCAUCUCACAUCUAGAAUUGCUUGCAUCUUUCCACCUCUCUCUCUCUCUCUCUCUCUCUCUCUCUCUCUCUCUCUCUCUCUCUCUCUCUCUCUCUUUCUCACGCACACACAUGCAUGUGUAAACAGACACACAUAGACACACAUGGGGCGAGUUUUCUGGGCCUUGUAGGAGCCCCAGCAGACCAGUCUCUGUCUAGGUAGCAGGUUCAAGGGCAAGGUUGUAGACAUAGCUGCCCACUUCAUGUCCCAACUUGCAAGUUGUCUGUCUUCUUCCCUUGAGGUUGCUGUUCCUUUGGCUGCUUCUAUGAACUCACGAUACCCUCAUUUUUUCCCCUCUGAGAAGCUCGCCCUUCCCUUCCACCCACACUCCUCUGAGGUACUUUAUAUCCAUACCUGGCUCCUAGUAGCCUCCCACUUGUCAAGCCACUCAUCCCCACCCUCUCCAGAGAGAAAGCCAUGAAGAAUUUAUGGAAUGUCCCCAGGAAAUUCUAGCAUGGUCCAGGCCCCAUAGCUCUUUCAACACAGGAAGGAAAAUAAAGAAAAAAUAGCUAAGAGUCAGGCAAGGGAAGGGAAUCUGGGUGCGUCAGAGCUACUCACUUCUUCCCUGCCUGGCUAGGCGUCUCUCAGACGGUCCAGCUCUCAUCUACAGAGGCUGGUAGGAACAGGAUGUCCCUGAGUGGGGAAGUGAACACACCAAAAGUGGCAUAGCCACAAUGUGAUCUUAGGUGCUCAGACACUCAGGGAACCCAAAGGCCAGGCCCUUGUCUUCUGAGGUCCCUGAAAGAACGGGGAGGAUGGGACUGAGAUCUUAAAGCCAAGAUGCAGCACUUGUAGGACUAAGAGCUGUGCUUUUCAGGAUGUGGAAAGAUAGGCAAAACUUCAGCAAGGGUGCAACAGCUCAAGCAAUGGAUGUGGGAUCAGUCUGCAAGGUCUCAUAAAGGCAGAAGAAUACCAGGUUGUGGUUUUAAAAGGUGAAUUAGAGCUAAUAUGGCUCUGAACCCAAAGAGGAAUGCAAGCAAAGGACUCAGGAUUAGAGCCCAGCCAAUUGUACAUGCUUCAGCAAAACCAAUUAGUCAUCACCAUAGAAGCAGAAGAACAGCUUCUAGAUCUUGAGCAGCAUUGACUCCACUUUAUGAGGAAGAUAAUAUCAUAACAGAGUGUUAAGAAACCACGUAUGAGAUAAACAAGGGGUGGCAAGGAUGUGGGAAUCACGCUAGGUUAAACAGAGUUCUACAAUGCUGAAACCCCAAGGAAAAAGAUCAAAUAAAGUAGAUAAAGACAGCUCUCCAGAUAAUGCAAUGUACUGAGCACCUUUUAUGUUCUAGGUGCUAUGCUAAGUCUUUUGUAUCUGCUAGCUCAUUGAACUCUGAUGCAGCCAUUCUGAGGCGGGUGCUCUUACCAACUUCACAAUGCAGAUGGGACAUAAAGGCAAAGUAAGAAUCUCUCCCAUGAUGCCAUUGCCAUGGAAGAUUAUGACUCCUUCAAUGGAACAAGUAUAUGGUGGCUUUAGUGAGGAUGGCCUCCAUAGGAUUAUACACUUGAAUGCUUGGUCACUAGUUUGUAGACUGUUUAAGAAGGACUAGGAAGUGUGACCUUGUUGGAGGUGUAUCACUGGGGGUUGGAUGGGCUUUGAGAUUUUGAAAACCUGUGCUAGGCCCAGCCUGUCUUGGUCUCUCCUUCUCCUCCUCCUCCUCCUCUUCCUCUCUCUCUCUCUCUCUCUCUCUCUCUCUCUCUCUCUCUCUCCCUCCAUCUUGUGGAUAAGAUGUAAGCUUUCAGCUCCUGUCCCAUCAUUCUGCUGUUUGUCUGGGGCCAUAUUUCCUGACAUGAUCAUGGACUAACCCUCUAAAACUUUAAGCAAGUCACCAAUUAAAUGCUUUCUUUUAUAA
Molecule: non-coding RNA, 3913 nt
Organism: Cricetulus griseus (Chinese hamster)
Lineage: Eukaryota; Metazoa; Chordata; Mammalia; Rodentia; Cricetidae
Source: RefSeq, a predicted model, not a curated record